This 99-nucleotide ribosomal RNA is filed under the name Cladosporium colocasiae. RNAcentral's name for it is "partial 28S ribosomal RNA". Lineage: Eukaryota; Fungi; Ascomycota; Dothideomycetes; Cladosporiales; Cladosporiaceae. The record is from RNAcentral.
UUCGCUAAAGAGUUCGGGCGGCUUUUGGCCGUUAAAUCUUUUCAAAGGUUGACCUCGGAUCAGGUAGGGAUACCCGCUGAACUUAAGCAUAUCAAUAAC